Molecule: long non-coding RNA, 915 nt
Organism: Bufo gargarizans (Asiatic toad)
Lineage: Eukaryota; Metazoa; Chordata; Amphibia; Anura; Bufonidae
Exons: 3
Source: RefSeq, a predicted model, not a curated record
AAAGCGGAAGCAUCCUUCCUCAUUCACCCAGAGUGAUGGCGUCUGAAGUGAGAGGAGAGCAGAACCAGUGCCUGCCUCUACCACAGUACCUGAUCUGAGGAAGUUCCAAGUGAGCCAAGUUGGAACCAUGAAGGUCAUGUGUCCACAAUGCUGACUGAUCAGCGAUUGAUCUGAGAAAAUCACCACUGCACUGCUACCAGCUACAUUGAGGGGUACCAUAACCAGACUGAAAAAUAAACCACCAGGUACCAAAACAGAGUAAAGUACCAAUCCUAUUCAAGAUUAAAAACAGUGAUAUUCAAAAGCAGCUAUAAGAGCAGACACUGAGAACUUUAUUAAAUUGCACGGCAGUGAUCGAGAUGUCCACCGGAUCUUGACACCUGGAUACUUUGAUGUGAUGAACACCUCCAUAGUUUAUCUCAUCCCACAUGCCAUGUCCUGCACUAUGCGGCAAAUAAUGAUAAACUAUUUUUUUGCUGAGAAUGUGUCCAAUAAUUUAUUGGAUUUCAACUUUUUGAUGGCACAAGACAAGUGUAUUUGAAAUGCUAAACUCAAGCUACAAAACUGUGAUAUUUUCAGUGGUGCUUAAGCUAACAGUUACAAAAUGAAAAUAAUAUCUCUGGAUGUAGAAGCGAUGAACGUCAUUACCCAAAUUAUGUUAUAAUAUUAAAAUAAAUAUUUUCUGCAGUAUGAGAAGGCUGAUCCAACUACCACUCUGAUCCUACGGAAUAUCAUCUGUGUAUCAGAUCCAAUAGGGGUUUUGUCAUCUUAGUAUACAUAAUGUUGCACCUUCUUCUACAAGUUUAUAGCUGGUUUGCCUGUCAUGUGACCUCCUAGUCACUUCUGUGCAACCAUCCCAUACUUACCAACAUUUCAGUUGGUAAAAUCAGGGCAUAUAAGCCCCACCCCCAGGAA